AUGGGGUGACUGCGUACCUUUUGUAUAAUGGGUCAGCGACUUAUAUUCUGUAGCAAGGUUAACCGUAUAGGGGAGCCGUAGGGAAACCGAGUCUUAACUGGGCGAAUGAGUUGCAGGGUAUAGACCCGAAACCCGGUGAUCUAUCCAUGGGCAGGUUGAAGGUUGGGUAACACUAACUGGAGGACCGAACCGACUAAUGUUGAAAAAUUAGCGGAUGACUUGUGGAUGGGGGUGAAAGGCCAAUCAAACCGGGAGAUAGCUGGUUCUCCCCGAAAGCUAUUUAGGUAGCGCCUCGUGAACUCAUCUUCGGGGGUAGAGCACUGUUUCGACUAGGGGGUCAUCCCGACUUACCAACUCGAUGCAAACUGCGAAUACCGAAGAAUGUUAUCACGGGAGACACACGGCGGGUGCUAACGUCCGUCGUGAAGAGGGAAACAACCCAGACCGCCAGCUAAGGUCCCAAAGUCAUGGUUAAGUGGGAAACGAAGUGGGAAGGCUCAGACAGCCAGGAUGUUGGCUUAGAAGCAGCCAUCAUUUAAAGAAAGCGUAAUAGCUCACUGGUCGAGUCGGCCCGCGCGGAAGAUGUAACGGGGCUAAACCAUGCACCGAAGCUGCGGCAGCGACACAAUGUGUUGUUGGGUAGGGGAGCGUUCUGUAAGCCUGCGAAGGUGUACUGUGAGGUAUGCUGGAGGUAUCAGAAGUGCGAAUGCUGACAUAAGUAACGAUAAUGCGGGUGAAAAACCCGCACGCCGGAAGACCAAGGGUUCCUGUCCAACGUUAAUCGGGGCAGGGUGAGUCGACCCCUAAGGCGAGGCUGAAAAGCGUAGUCGAUGGGAAACGGGUUAAUAUUCCCGUACUGGUGGUAACUGCGAUGGGGGAACGGAGAAGGCUAGGUUGUCCGGGCGACGGUCGUCCCGGUUCAAGCAGGUAGGCAGAGUGAUUAGGCAAAUCCGGUCACUUAAUGCUGAGAUGUGAUGACGAACCACUAAGGUGGUGAAGCAAUUGAUGCCCCGCUUCCAGGAAAAGCCUCUAAGCUUCAGGUUACCAACAAUCGUACCCCAAACCGACACAGGUGGUCAGGUAGAGAAUACUCAGGCGCUUGAGAGAACUCGGGUGAAGGAACUAGGCAAAAUGGUGCCGUAACUUCGGGAGAAGGCACGCUGGCGGUAGGUAAAGUCCCUUGCGGACGGCGCUGAAGCCAGUCGAAGAUACCAGCUGGCUGCAACUGUUUAUUAAAAACACAGCACUGUGCAAACACGAAAGUGGACGUAUACGGUGUGACGCCUGCCCGGUGCUGGAAGGUUAAUUGAUGGGGUCAGCCGUAAGGCGAAGCUCCUGAUCGAAGCCCCAGUAAACGGCGGCCGUAACUAUAACGGUCCUAAGGUAGCGAAAUUCCUUGUCGGGUAAGUUCCGACCUGCACGAAUGGCGUAAUGAUGGCCAGGCUGUCUCCACCCGAGACUCAGUGAAAUUGAACUCGCUGUGAAGAUGCAGUGUACCCGCGGCAAGACGGAAAGACCCCGUGAACCUUUACUAUAGCUUGACACUGAACAUUGAGCCUUGAUGUGUAGGAUAGGUGGGAGGCUUUGAAGUGUGGACGCCAGUCUGCAUGGAGCCAACCUUGAAAUACCACCCUUUAACGUUUGAUGUUCUAACCUAGGCCCAUAAACUGGGUCGGGGACCGUGUCUGGUGGGUAGUUUGACUGGGGCGGUCUCCUCCUAAAGAGUAACGGAGGAGCACGAAGGUUGGCUAAGCAUGGUCGGACAUCAUGCGGUUAGUGCAAAGGCAUAAGCCAGCUUGACUGCGAGAGUGACGGCUCGAGCAGGUACGAAAGUAGGUCUUAGUGAUCCGGUGGUUCUGAAUGGAAGGGCCAUCGCUCAACGGAUAAAAGGUACUCCGGGGAUAACAGGCUGAUACCGCCCAAGAGUUCAUAUCGACGGCGGUGUUUGGCACCUCGAUGUCGGCUCAUCACAUCCUGGGGCUGAAGUAGGUCCCAAGGGUAUGGCUGUUCGCCAUUUAAAGUGGUACGCGAGCUGGGUUUAGAACGUCGUGAGACAGUUCGGUCCCUAUCUGCCGUGGGCGUUGGAAGAUUGAGAGGGGUUGCUCCUAGUACGAGAGGACCGGAGUGAACGCACCACUGGUGUUCGGGUUGUCAUGCCAAUGGCAUUGCCCGGUAGCUAAGUGCGGAAGAGAUAACCGCUGAAAGCAUCUAAGCGGGAAACUUGCCUCGAGAUGAGUCUUCCCUGUCGCUUUAAGCGACCUAAAGGAACGUUUAAGACUAAGACGUUGAUAGGCUGGGUGUGUAAGCGUAGCGAUACGUUGAGCUAACCAGUACUAAUGAACCGUGAGGCUUAACCUG
RNAcentral lists this ribosomal RNA (2358 nucleotides) under Proteus mirabilis. RNAcentral's name for it is "partial 23S ribosomal RNA". It matches the Rfam family "Bacterial large subunit ribosomal RNA", at positions 588 to 2925 of the family's 2925-position model. The record is from RNAcentral. Lineage: Bacteria; Pseudomonadati; Pseudomonadota; Gammaproteobacteria; Enterobacterales; Morganellaceae.